Molecule: ribosomal RNA, 770 nt
Filed under: uncultured bacterium
Lineage: Bacteria
Description: bacterial SSU rRNA
Rfam family: Bacterial small subunit ribosomal RNA
Source: RNAcentral
UAGAGCUGGCGGCAGGCUUACACAUGCAAGUCGAGCGGGGGAGGUUGCUUCGGUAACUGACCUAGCGGCGGACGGGUGAGUAAUGCUUAGGAAUCUGCCUAUUAGUGGGGGACAACAUUCCGAAAGGGAUGCUAAUACCGCAUACGCCCUACGGGGGAAAGCAGGGGAUCUUCGGACCUUGCGCUAAUAGAUGAGCCUAAGUCGGAUUAGCUAGUUGGUGGGGUAAAGGCCUACCAAGGCGACGAUCUGUAGCGGGUCUGAGAGGAUGAUCCGCCACACUGGGACUGAGACACGGCCCAGACUCCUACGGGAGGCAGCAGUGGGGAAUAUUGGACAAUGGGCGGAAGCCUGAUCCAGCCAUGCCGCGUGUGUGAAGAAGGCCUUUUGGUUGUAAAGCACUUUAAGCGAGGAGGAGGCUCUUAAGGUUAAUACCCUUGAUGAGUGGACGUUACUCGCAGAAUAAGCACCGGCUAACUCUGUGCCAGCAGCCGCGGUAAUACAGAGGGUGCGAGCGUUAAUCGGAUUUACUGGGCGUAAAGCGUGCGUAGGCGGCUGAUUAAGUCGGAUGUGAAAUCCCUGAGCUUAACUUAGGAAUUGCAUUCGAUACUGGUCAGCUAGAGUAUGGGAGAGGAUGGUAGAAUUCCAGGUGUAGCGGUGAAAUGCGUAGAGAUCUGGAGGAAUACCGAUGGCGAAGGCAGCCAUCUGGCCUAAUACUGACGCUGAGGUACGAAAGCAUGGGGAGCAAACAGGAUUAGAUACCCUGGUAGUCC